UACGAAGGGGGCUAGCGUUGUUCGGAAUUACUGGGCGUAAAGCGCACGUAGGCGGGUCGUUAAGUCAGGGGUGAAAUCCUGGAGCUCAACUCCAGAACUGCCUUUGAUACUGGCAACCUAGAGACUGGAAGAGGUUAGUGGAAUUCCCAGUGUAGAGGUGAAAUUCGUAGAUAUUGGGAAGAACACCAGUGGCGAAGGCGGCUAACUGGUCCAGCACUGACGCUGAGGUGCGAAAGCGUGGGGAGCAAACAGG
This 253-nucleotide ribosomal RNA is filed under the name uncultured bacterium. Its description in RNAcentral is "partial 16S ribosomal RNA". It matches the Rfam family "Bacterial small subunit ribosomal RNA", at positions 524 to 776 of the family's 1533-position model. The record is from RNAcentral.